UACGUAGGGGGCUAGCGUUGUCCGGAAUCAUUGGGCGUAAAGAGCGUGUAGGCGGCCCGAUUAGUCCGCUGUGAAAGUCCAGGGCUCAACCCUGGAAUGCCGGUGGAUACUGUCGGGCUAGAGUCCGGAAGGGGCGAGUGGAAUUCCUGGUGUAGCGGUGAAAUGCGCAGAUAUCAGGAGGAACACCAAUGGCGAAGGCAGCUCGCUGGGACGUGACUGACGCUGAGGUGCGAAAGCGUGGGGAGCAAACAGG
RNAcentral lists this ribosomal RNA (253 nucleotides) under uncultured bacterium. RNAcentral describes it as "partial 16S ribosomal RNA". It matches the Rfam family "Bacterial small subunit ribosomal RNA", at positions 524 to 776 of the family's 1533-position model. The record is from RNAcentral.